CGCCUCUAAGUCAGAAUCCGG
Molecule: small nuclear RNA, 21 nt
Filed under: Arabidopsis thaliana (thale cress)
Lineage: Eukaryota; Viridiplantae; Streptophyta; Magnoliopsida; Brassicales; Brassicaceae
Description: snRNA_01003
Source: RNAcentral